CAAGUGCGUAGAGCCACAAUAUGGCGGCGAGCAGAGCGCGCAGUGGGCGAGGUCUAAAGGAGGCGCGGGGGCGGGGCUGCAGAGCUCUUCCCCAGAGAGGGGAUGAAAGGACUUGAGGGUACCCCACAGGAAGAAAUUCCAAAGUGUGCCUUCCUUGGCUCUCAAAGGGGUUCUGCACUUGAGUGGUGGCAUCAUCUACCAAUCCAAGUGGAACCAAGCCCAAGUCCACAAUCCAGCGAGGAACUAAUGUAUCCAGCAUCAAGAAAGCAGUUUCAGGCAGAGCAGGAAGUGGAUGAAAGCCUCAAGGGAGCUUGGAUGGUGGCAUGGAGCAACCCACCCCCUCUCAGCUCUUCUAAUAGAUCCAGGUUUGUUGUAGGAGGACUCUUAUACAAGGAAUGGGCACAAGGAGGACUGGCAUCCUCAGAGACAGUUGGUAGUCCCAACUAAGAAUAGGGAAAAGCUCUUGAGCUUAGUCCACGAUCACCCUAGUGGCCAUGCUGGGUGAAUAGGACAAAAGACCAUCUGGGAAAGUCAUUCCACUGGGAGGGAAUGGGCAAGGAUAUUUCUACCUAUGUCUGGUCUUGUGAAGUGUGCCAGAGGGU
Gopherus evgoodei (Goodes thornscrub tortoise) is the source of this 602-nucleotide long non-coding RNA. RefSeq lists it as uncharacterized. The record is from RefSeq and is a predicted model, not a curated record. The transcript is spliced from 3 exons. Lineage: Eukaryota; Metazoa; Chordata; Testudines; Testudinidae.